This 73-nucleotide transfer RNA is filed under the name Candidatus Magasanikiibacteriota bacterium. RNAcentral's name for it is "Candidatus Magasanikbacteria bacterium tRNA-Lys". It matches the Rfam family "tRNA". Rfam says of the family: Transfer RNA (tRNA) molecules are approximately 80 nucleotides in length. Lineage: Bacteria; Candidatus Magasanikiibacteriota. The record is from RNAcentral.
GACCCUGUAGCUCAGUUGGUAGAGCAGCAGCCUUUUAAGCUGAUGGUCGUGGGUUCGAGCCCCACCGGGGUCA